UUAAACUAAAGAGUUUGAUCCUGGCUCAGAUUGAACGCUGGCGGCAUGCCUUACACAUGCAAGUCGAACGGCAGCACGGAGC
RNAcentral lists this ribosomal RNA (82 nucleotides) under Duganella sp. BK701. RNAcentral's name for it is "partial 16S ribosomal RNA". It matches the Rfam family "Bacterial small subunit ribosomal RNA", at positions 1 to 80 of the family's 1533-position model. Lineage: Bacteria; Pseudomonadati; Pseudomonadota; Betaproteobacteria; Burkholderiales; Oxalobacteraceae. The record is from RNAcentral.